CCCUUGUUCAACCUUAAUCCAUCAAAUUGGAGGGAAAAUCAAGACCCAAAUCGAUACAUGAACAUGAAUAAACAAUCACCAAGUCAAGGGGAUCGUAAGCUUGACUUUUGACAAGCUAGGUGGAAGCUUGAGAAGAAGCGGGUCAAGUGGAACGAUUACGAUAAGAAAAGCGUAUUCGGAUGCGAGGAAUAAAAAGGGAAGCUAAAUGAGGCCGCUUUGUCUUUAUGAUGGGAACCAUGUGCGUGCAGGUGAUAAAUGAAAGUUCGGUAUUGUUUAGAGUUG
Molecule: long non-coding RNA, 282 nt
Organism: Helianthus annuus (common sunflower)
Lineage: Eukaryota; Viridiplantae; Streptophyta; Magnoliopsida; Asterales; Asteraceae
Exons: 3
Source: RefSeq, a predicted model, not a curated record